UAGGGAAUAUUGGUCAAUGGAUGCAAGUCUGAACCAGCCAUGCCGCGUGCAGGAAGAAGGCCCUAUGGGUUGUAAACUGCUUUUGCCAGGGGAUAAAAUGAGCAUGCGUGCUUAAUUGAAGGUACCUGGUGAAUAAGCCACGGCUAACUACGUGCCAGCAGCCGCGGUAAUACGUAGGUGGCAAGCGUUGUCCGGAUUUAUUGGGUUUAAAGGGUGCGUAGGCGGUCCUAUAAGUCAGUGCUGAAAUAUCCCGGCUUAACCGGGAGGGUGGCAUUGAUACUGCAGGACUUGAGUAAAGUUGAGGUUGGCGGAAUUGACGGUGUAGCGGUGAAAUGCUUAGAUAUCGUCAAGAACACCUAUUGCGAAGGCAGCUAACUAAGCUUUAACUGACGCUGAGGCACGAAAGUGUGGGGAUCAAA
This 419-nucleotide ribosomal RNA is filed under the name uncultured bacterium. Its description in RNAcentral is "bacterial SSU rRNA". It matches the Rfam family "Bacterial small subunit ribosomal RNA", at positions 355 to 772 of the family's 1533-position model. The record is from RNAcentral.